GAAAACCGCAAUCCCUGCUUCAAAUUGAGUAUAUGUCGCCACCAAGUUCUGCUAUGUCUUAUGCAUGGAACUCUGUUUUGGAACUACAGCUGAAACUGGAGGGUUUACUAUGAAAUUCCAAUUCAAUGUUAUGAGAUUGUGAUUCUUCAUGGGACAAACUGAGGUUGGCUAGUAUGUUGUAGUUGCCCUCCUUGGAAUGAGCUUGAAGAUAGAUCUUGUUUGCAUAUGGAAUGACUUAAAAGUCAAGUUAUGUAGAAAUAGGAAUUGUAGAUGUUGUGUUUUUUUUUUUGUGAAAUUGGGCUUUGUAAUAUGAUCUUUGUAGUUAUAACUUGUAGCUUGAAUGGAAAAUGGAUUUUUUUUUUGUUAUUAAAUGGAUAUUUAUUAUUAUUAAAAUGGAUAUUUAUUGUUAAAA
Lathyrus oleraceus (garden pea) is the source of this 412-nucleotide long non-coding RNA. RefSeq lists it as uncharacterized. Lineage: Eukaryota; Viridiplantae; Streptophyta; Magnoliopsida; Fabales; Fabaceae. The record is from RefSeq and is a predicted model, not a curated record. The transcript is spliced from 2 exons.